This 454-nucleotide ribosomal RNA is filed under the name uncultured bacterium. RNAcentral describes it as "bacterial SSU rRNA". It matches the Rfam family "Bacterial small subunit ribosomal RNA", at positions 28 to 493 of the family's 1533-position model. The record is from RNAcentral.
GACGAACGCUGGCGGCGUGCCUAGCACAUGCAAGUCGAACGAGGGUUUGGAAAGCUUGCUUUCCGAAACCUAGUGGCGGACGGGUGAGUAACGCGUGAGUAACCUGCCUUUCAGAGGGGAAUAACGUUCUGAAAAGAACGCUAAUACCGCAUAACGUACAGUUACCGCAUGGUAGCAGUACCAAAGGAGCAAUCCGCUGAAAGAUGGACUCGCGUCCGAUUAGCUAGUUGGUGGGGUAAAGGCCUACCAAGGCGACGAUCGGUAGCCGGACUGAGAGGUUGAACGGCCACAUUGGGACUGAGACACGGCCCAGACUCCUACGGGAGGCAGCAGUGGGGGAUAUUGCACAAUGGGGGAAACCCUGAUGCAGCAACGCCGCGUGUGGGAAGAAGGUUUUCGGAUUGUAAACCACUGUUCUUGGUGAAGAUAAUGACGGUAACCAAGGAGAAAGCUC